RNAcentral lists this ribosomal RNA (301 nucleotides) under uncultured bacterium. Its description in RNAcentral is "partial 16S ribosomal RNA". It matches the Rfam family "Bacterial small subunit ribosomal RNA", at positions 509 to 809 of the family's 1533-position model. The record is from RNAcentral.
CAGUCGCCGCGGUAAUACGAAGGGUGCAAGCGUUACUCGGAAUUACUGGGCGUAAAGCGUGCGUAGGCGGCUUCUUAAGUCGGAUGUGAAAUCCCUGAGCUUAACUUAGGAAUUGCAUUCGAUACUGGGAAGCUAGAGUAUGGGAGAGGAUGGUAGAAUUCCAGGUGUAGCGGUGAAAUGCGUAGAGAUCUGGAGGAAUACCGAUGGCGAAGGCAGCCAUCUGGCCUAAUACUGACGCUGAGGUACGAAAGCAUGGGGAGCAAACAGGAUUAGAUACCCGCGUAGUCCCUGUCUCUUAUAA